UGUCGAAAUGAUAAUGAGCUAUAUGAAGAGUUAAUCUUCUUUUGUUCUUUUAAUAACUUCUCUCUUUUGAUUGAGUUCCGAUCUUUCAGCUUCAAGCAAAUCAUGUGUUGGAUAGCUACGUGCGUGAUUUUCGCAGCAAUUUCUGAUUGGAUCAAGUCGCAUAACAUUGUUUAGUUGCUGUUAUUAAUCUUGUUUUGUCGCAUAUCUAACUUAGUUUAGUUACUGUUAUUAAUCUUGUUUUCUUGAGUCAUUCUAUGAAAGGAACAGAAGAAUCCACAAAGCACAAGCGUUGCACC
This 296-nucleotide long non-coding RNA is filed under the name Setaria italica (foxtail millet). Its description in RNAcentral is "long non-coding RNA (SITA_LNC003877)". Lineage: Eukaryota; Viridiplantae; Streptophyta; Magnoliopsida; Poales; Poaceae. The record is from RNAcentral.